UUCAUGUCGAGCCGAUCCAAUCCAACAAUCUCCUUCAGUCGGUCGUCUGUCUGCUUCUGCUAGUUUCUGCAACGCUGUUUCUGCGAGCUUCUCAUCCAGCUUUUGAUAUUUCAUUUAGUUGAGAAUCUCAUCUUAUCAUGGCAUAUGCAGUGAGGUUCGCCAACAAAGCAAGUGCUAUGUCGCUUCUGAGACCAGCGACAGCUUUACCCACUGCAUGUCUUGCACCCAUGUCAGCAAUGAGUCCUAAGCAGGCAGAGGCGACAGAACACUUCUUCAAAAAGAACAAGUCACUUGAGAGGCCAUUGUCUCCUCACCUGAGCAUUUAUGCGCCGCAAAUGUCAUGGGUGCCUUCACUGAUACACAGGACAACUGGCAUUGGCAUGACAGUGUGUCUGUAUGGAAUGGGUGUGAUGCCGUUUGUGUGUUCGCACCAGUUCCCGCACUAUGUGGAGGCACUUCAGGCCAUGCACAUCUCGCCCAUCCUCACUUUCCCAGUGAAGCUUGGGCUGGCCUUUGCCCUCUGCUACCACACUUUCAAUGGCAUGCGCCACCUGGCCUGGGAUUUGGGCUUUGGCUUCAGCCUCAAGGAGCUCUACGCAACUGGCUAUUUUAUCAUAGCAGUCAGUCUUGUGGCGGCAGCAGUGUUGGCGCUCAAGUAGACCUACCUUAUACCUGGACUGGAGCAGCUAGGGUCAAGGUGAUGAACUUGCCCAGCGCAGGGGCUGUGUAUGCACUCAACUAUGCGAACAGCCAUGCACAGCCUCAGUCGGGCUAGAGGAGGAGACACAUGCUUGAUCAGAUGGCCUCCAACAUUGGGCGUGUGGGAAGACAGUGUGCAUCAAGCCUCCAUCUUUCUCGGCUCACCGUCACAUGCUUUUCCUUGCACCCACAGCAUCACUCUUCGACUUUCUAUCGAACAUCGUGGUGACGGCAAAAAUUUACCUGGAAUGUCUAUAUUUGCUAUAGCAAUAAUAACUUUAGUAAUCAAUAGUAGUCAAACAAGGGAUGUCAAAACGUCCCCCUGUCAAAAUGUUGGCUCCAGCAACAUCCCUUCUUCGACCAUUAUAGAUAAAUUGAAAAGUCUCCGUGUGAUCCUGUCUUGUUUGGCAAUCAAAUAACAUUAGGCUCCUGCAACAUUAGGCGGCAAGAUUUAAUACCCGUUGCAUAACAUGGUGAGAACAACGCGUGAAAGAAUAAAGGCAGGAAAAAUGUUCCCACGUAUAUGCAAAAGGUGUUGUUGCGUCUGUACAGCCGUAGUUGGCUGCCGACUAUUUAUUACACUUCAUGAAAGAGAAACAUAAUAGUAGACAGCAGUCCAGACGUCGGAGCAAACACUGGCGAAGCGUUCGUUCUAUGAGGCGCGCUCGUGUCAGAGCGCCAGUGCCUUCGCACGCGCACUUCAUCGUUGUCGUCUCCUGGCGACAUAUCAGGUGUAUUUUUAUUAAAAUUUGUUUUAGAUAUUUAUGGUACUCAGUAGCUAUGGCGUUGUGCUGGUGAGCGCCAGAUCAUGAGUUUAAUCUUGGUCGCGGUGGCCACAUUCUGAUGGGAGUGGAAUGUAAAAAUGCUCGUGUACAGCAUGCCUCAUAAUCAGAUCGCGGUUUUGGCACAUCAUCAUCCGAAAUAAUGGUGUCUUUAAUUUUAAAGAUUUGUGGUAAGCAUUGUAAACAUUAAAAUCACAGUUAGUUUAAUAACCUAGCAAUAUACCCAGGCAAAGUCUAGCCAAACUCGAGCCAGGUAUCAAUCGAAUUAGUUAAUUUGUCACUGAAAGCAUGGGACACUUCUGGGAGUACAAUGAAUGUACAGGUAAGCUGUUUCUUGCUUAUGAGGUCACAUGCAUAGCAAUUUAUAAAUCAUUGCUAUUAAAUUUGGAAAUAUUAAUUCUAUUGCGUUGUUUUUGCUGUUCGUGUACAGGGUGACCGAAAACUACUGUAACGCACUCUGAAUGUUAUUUCAUUUUAGUUAUAUAGUUUGCAUUUUUUACCACCGACAUUAUUAAAUUUGUGGUCCUUGGGCUUUCUUGAUAUAGAACUGCUAUUUUUACUGUUCUUGGUGUCCCGUCUUAUUAGAAAAAAUGGUAUCUGAAGAGUUGCGCCACACAGUCGUUGCCCACCACAAGCAGAGUAUGACGAUUCCAGAGGUUGCGAAGAUGCUCAAACUGCAGCUUGUUUUAUUCCAUCUCGUCGUCAAACGGUUUCAGGAGACAGGGGGUGUGAAGGACCGGCAGUGAAGUGGGAGGCCUCGAACGGCAAGAACCCGGGAGCUGAAAUUGGCCGUCAGCAAGAAAAUCAAGAGAAAUCCACUGAGAAGCCUGAGAAAACUCACCCGAGAGCACAGAGUUAGCAACUCGACCGUGCUGCUACUCACAAAAGAGGAUCUCUAGUUCACGGUGCACAAACCAGUGAAAGGACAGCUGCUCACGGACCAAAUGAAGGCUUCCAGGCUGGAAAAGUGCCGCAGGAUGAAGCAGCUGAACUGCGAUGAAGCCCUGAACUGAAUUCUGUUCACCGAUAAGAAGAUUUUCACCGUCAUACUGACUUGGAAUUCACAGAAUUACCGAAAAUUGUUGCCGAAGGGUUCUUCGUGAACUGUCAGAGUGGGAAAAAAACUAUUUUCCCAUGAGCAUCAUGGUCUGGGGUGGAAUUUCAGGCCUUGUGAAGACCAAGCUCGUUAUUGUGCUGAAAGGGGUCAAACUCAAUGCCAACAUUUACCAUGAGCUGAUCCUUCAGGGCGCCGUCAUUUCCUGGGCUCAAGGGAAUGUAGAAAACGCUGACUGGUGGCUGCAGCAGGACUGGGCCCCUGCCCACGGAGCGAAAAAGGCUAUCAAGUGGUGUGAGGCAAACCUUCGCGGCUUUCAGGGAAAGGACAUUUGGCCUUCAAAUUCCCCCGAUGUCAAUCCGAUGUACUUCACUGUUUGGGGGAUUUGGGAGCAAAAAGCAUGCUCUUUCAAGCACAAAUCCGUCGAAUCGCUCAAAUAUGCUUUGGAGAAGGCCUGGGAGGAAAUCACUCCAGAAGACAUCACGGCUAUUUUGAAGAAUUUCCAGAAGCGUCUUCAAGCCUGUAUCAAAGCACAAGGUGGACAUUCUGAAACUGAAAUUCGAGUUCUUCUACAGAAUUGAAUGGCCGUUCGAAUAAAACAAAGCGUGCCUCACUUUGUUCGUUCGUUGAAGAGUUAUGGUUGUUUUUUCGCAUUACAGUAUUUAGCGGUCACCAUAUGUUUCUUGGCAUAUUUUGGUGGUGAGUAUUCACUUGUUCUGCAACACAUGCGAAUGAGUUUCCGGAACUCAUUGCAAAUGAUUGCAAGCGGUCGCAACUGUCACUUUCAUGUAUUGACAAUAAAUAUGCGCACGUAGCAGCAAACUAGUGACAUAUGCAGAUGUCAUUCGGUGCAAAUGCAUUAAAUUUUCCUGUGUGACAGGGGUAUUAUUGAACUUUACCAUGCCUUUUCUGACCAAAGUUUUUUGUUUGCUUUAACCAUGCACAUUAAAAUGAGGUGCUUUGAUGUACAUGUAUAUUUUCUCCUAGUGUGUCUGCUCCCUCCCUUGUCAGCUUACUAGGGUGGAGGAAAUUGUGUUUACGUGGCUGCAUGCCAAGGUGGCCCCUACACUGGCUGCCACAUGUAUUUGGAAUUGGCCACACUUUCCACUGGAUGCAACAUACUCAAACUGUCCCUUUCCAGUGAUGGAAGCUGACGCCUGCCACUUAGUAUGGAAUUGUCCAGCCUUACAACUGGGACACUCCCGUCUCCUGCAAGCCAGCCUACACUGCAGUGCUUUGUCUAGCUACCAUAGCUGGGUGCACAAAAGAAGAUACCACAAAACGCUUCCUUGAAUUUGUAGAAUUCAUGGACAAUUACACAGGCCUUACAGUGUACAAAUAACACCUAUCGGACAAUAUGCCUUAGAGACAAGCCUCUAUUGAAAAAUGGAAAAUAUGCCUUGCACAUCUCGCAACUAGCUGUUAUGAGUUUAUCAUACGAUGCCCAAUUUUUAGGCUGUUAACAGUUGUAACGACACUAAUAAUUUUACUAUGUUUGAUUUGCGUACAGUUUAGGUCAAAACUAACUUUAAGAAAAUGAAACACAGUUGCCAACAAAUUUUUGCAGACCCUUAUUGUUCAUACCUAUAUUACUGGCACCAUUGCCACUCACUCCAUAGGAGUGAGAAUAACGCAAAGUUUGUUAAUGUUACAUGGUUAUUUUAUCAAUAAAUAUCAUGAAUACUUC
Molecule: RNA transcript, 4222 nt
Organism: Dermacentor silvarum
Lineage: Eukaryota; Metazoa; Arthropoda; Arachnida; Ixodida; Ixodidae
Gene name: succinate dehydrogenase cytochrome b560 subunit, mitochondrial
Exons: 7
Source: RefSeq, a predicted model, not a curated record